UCAUGUUCUGACAUCUGAUGAGUCGUC
Molecule: small RNA, 27 nt
Filed under: Bombyx mori (domestic silkworm)
Lineage: Eukaryota; Metazoa; Arthropoda; Insecta; Lepidoptera; Bombycidae
Description: ovarian small RNA-26283
Source: RNAcentral